RNAcentral lists this ribosomal RNA (466 nucleotides) under uncultured bacterium. Its description in RNAcentral is "bacterial SSU rRNA". It matches the Rfam family "Bacterial small subunit ribosomal RNA", at positions 8 to 518 of the family's 1533-position model. The record is from RNAcentral.
AGAGUUUGAUCAUGGCUCAGAACGAACGCUGGCGGCAGGCCUAACACAUGCAAGUCGAGCGCGCCCUUCGGGGUGAGCGGCGGACGGGUUAGUAACGCGUGGGAACGUACCCUUUGGUAGGGAAUAGCCACUGGAAACGGUGAGUAAUACCCUAUGAGCCCUUCGGGGGAAAGAUUUAUCGCCAAAGGAUCGGCCCGCGGUAGAUUAGGUAGUUGGUGGGGUAAUGGCCUACCAAGCCUACGAUCUAUAGCUGGUUUUUAGAGGAUGAUCAGCAACACUGGGACUGAGACACGGCCCAGACUCCUACGGGAGGCAGCAGUGGGGAAUCUUGGACAAUGGGGGCAACCCUGAUCCCAGCCAUGCCGCGUGAGUGAAGAAGGCCUUAGGGUCGUAAAGCUCUUUCGCCUGUGAAGAUAAUGACGGUAGCAGGUAAAGAAACCCCGGCUAACUCCGUGCCAGCAGCCGC